Non-coding RNA from Potamilus streckersoni, 78 nucleotides. The record is from the annotation of a GenBank genome assembly. NCBI's taxonomy places the organism in Eukaryota, Metazoa, Mollusca, Bivalvia, Unionida, Unionidae.
GACCGUUCCGGUGGUUUAAGUGGUUGGAGUGUCCACCUUGGAUGCGGGAGGUAGCUGGUUCGAACCCAGGUUGAGUCA